This 430-nucleotide ribosomal RNA is filed under the name Gemmatimonadota bacterium. RNAcentral's name for it is "Gemmatimonadetes bacterium partial 16S ribosomal RNA". It matches the Rfam family "Bacterial small subunit ribosomal RNA", at positions 355 to 777 of the family's 1533-position model. Lineage: Bacteria; Pseudomonadati; Gemmatimonadota. The record is from RNAcentral.
UAGGGAAUCUUCGGCAAUGGACGAAAGUCUGACCGAGCAACGCCGCGUGAGUGAAGAAGGUUUUCGGAUCGUAAAACUCUGUUGUUAGAGAAGAACAAGGACGUUAGUAACUGAACGUCCCCUGACGGUAUCUAACCAGAAAGCCACGGCUAACUACGUGCCAGCAGCCGCGGUAAUACGUAGGUGGCAAGCGUUGUCCGGAUUUAUUGGGCGUAAAGCGAGCGCAGGCGGUUUCUUAAGUCUGAUGUGAAAGCCCCCGGCUCAACCGGGGAGGGUCAUUGGAAACUGGGAGACUUGAGUGCAGAAGAGGAGAGUGGAAUUCCAUGUGUAGCGGUGAAAUGCGUAGAUAUAUGGAGGAACACCAGCGGCGAAGGCGGCUCUCUGGUCUGUAACUGACGCUGAGGCUCGAAAGCGUGGGGAGCAAACAGGA